Molecule: long non-coding RNA, 2321 nt
Organism: Cercocebus atys (sooty mangabey)
Lineage: Eukaryota; Metazoa; Chordata; Mammalia; Primates; Cercopithecidae
Exons: 5
Source: RefSeq, a predicted model, not a curated record
UGGGAAAUGAGUUGACAAGCACAAUUUGGCUGGCGUGAUCAGAGAAUGUUUAAGAGAUAAUGUGAGGGAAGAAAAUGGAGGCAGGAAGAAAAAUAAUAGUAUAUUCGUAUGCUGAGGAGAAGAAUCCAGUUGAAGGGGAAUACUGUGGCUUCAGGCAACAAGAGAGGAAAACUGCCUGAGCCACAUCCUUCAGCAAGAUUCUAUUUCUAGCUGACCCAAAGUCAUGUCUGAGCCUUUAAGGAAAAAAAGAAAACCCUCAAGGAGAUGGUUUUAUUCUUCUUAAAUAUCGAGGUAAAUGCUUAAAAACCAUUCUACCUUCUGGCCAGAAGUAUAAGAUGGUUGGAGAGAAAGAAACCAGAGGACAAGGUAGAUUGGAGAAGAAAAAGGAAAGAAAUACAAAGUUACUAAAGAAUUAUGAACAACAUAGAGGAAGGGAACUAUUUGUAAGACCUGACACUGCGAAGCCAACUGUUUUACUUAGUGCUGAAAGCUAAGGGGAGUUUUAAGUACAUUAGAAUCCAAACAAGACUUUUCAAAUCUCGUAUAAUCUAAAAUAAAAUCAAAGUUGAGUUUAUGGGAGACAUAAAAUGAAAUUUAAAUUAGUUUAUGCUUUUUGAAUCUGACCUCUGUUUAAAAUUAGACUGAAGUAAUUAUUUCCUUUAGUGAGCAAGAAGUGAAAUCAGGAGGAAGACAAAUCUUUUCAAACUGAGAAACAAGAAAGAGGAAGACACAAAAGUUAAACUACAAUAAUGUAGCUUAACAGUAAUGAAAAUCUAUACUGAACACUAAAACUGGAUGACUCUUUACCAUACUUCCAAAUAUGAAACACUUUAUUCAUUCUGCCUCCAAAUUCUACGCUCCAGAAUCCAACCAAUUCAGAGUGAGCUGUCCGAAGAUGAAUGGUUUUCUUAAGAUUUUCCAUGAACGCAUUCAUUUUUGAAGGUUUAAGGUUCCUAAAAAAACAGGAAGGCUAUUCAGGUCAAAGUAUUUCUUGAAUCCACUGACGAAGACUACUGGUCAAAAACAGGACUGGACUGUAACUAAUAUAAAAGGAAGCUAUGACUUAUCCAAUUGCAUUGUACUAUGGGCGUGUACUGCAUAAAGAGUGAAAAGGAAAAAAACUCAACAAAUCAGAUUUGUCUGCAUCAUUGUUUCUAAUUACAGAUGCAAUAUCAAGAAGUAUGCACAUUUAGUGUACCCAAUUAUACCAAGUUUAUGGAACUAUCCUUUAAGACCACCCUUUGUAAUAGUCAUACACCAAAUAGGUAAAUUUUCUGUCCUAUUCUGGCCCUCUGAGCCUGAGUGAACUUAAUGUUCAGUAGCAAAUGCCCUGUCAGAAAUUAUCCAGAGUCUGUGUGUAUGUACAUGCAAAUAUUUAUGUAAACACACGUGGAUACACAGACCACUCCCGUGGCAUUCUAGUUUACAAAUCCAUUCAUUUAGAUAUGGUUAGCAUGUGACAACUUCCUGAGGCUCACUACCUAGAAUAAUGUAUCACAACAGUUUCAGUAGGCAUCUUUCACUGACAUAUUUUUGGUUACAACAUACAAAUGUCUAUGUAGUUUGUGUGCACAACGUCUUAAUUAUAAUUGUCUAUCUUGAGUUCAUUCAUCUCCAGUAUGAGUUAUACCCUUAUUGUCCAAGUGUCUUAGUUUUCUUGGAAAACCCUUCUUCACACCAAAAAAUAACUGCAACUAUCCUUUCUUUCGAUGGCCAUUCUUUUUGGGUCAAUUUAAUCAAAUUCUGAAAAUAAAAAACCGUUUAGUAUCUACAGUUUAAAAAUAAUAUAAAAUAUAAACAUUUCAGAAAAUGGGCCAAUGAGGUAUUUGAAACAACUGUUUUUAAUUUUCAGAGUUUUGUAUCUAGAGAUGUUAUCCUAAAAAAAGAUAUUAGAAAAAAGUUAUCUACAAACAUGUUGUGUUUACUUGGGAAUGAGAAAUGAGGAUUAUAGAUGCAAAUGUAUGGGAUAGAAAGCCAUCAGUGCAUCCAGUCAGGGAAAGGUAAAGGGAAGCUUUUAUCAGCAAAAAGUGAGAGAUUCACAUAGGUUGCUUACAAACAGAGUUGACUGGUUCCAGAGACUCAAAGCCAGAGUUGUCAGUUCAGUGGUAGAGAUGCUGUUACCAGGAAAGCAGUCUUUCAAGAACAUCUUAUCUGAAUUACUGCAGUCCUAAAGAAGGCCUAAUGAUAAACUUUGUCAAAGCAGGAGAUGGGUGUAGGAUGUGAAAGGAUUUCCUGUGGGGGUUUUGAAGUCCUUGGGCUGGGCGCUGUGGCUCACGCCUGUAAUCCUAGCACUUUGGGAGGCCGAGGGUGGGGCAGAUCAC